Molecule: long non-coding RNA, 819 nt
Filed under: Monodelphis domestica (gray short-tailed opossum)
Lineage: Eukaryota; Metazoa; Chordata; Mammalia; Didelphimorphia; Didelphidae
Description: lncRNA (ENSMODG00000045650.1)
Source: RNAcentral
GCGGUGGAGGUGGUGGGGUGAGAGCGCGUGUUUAUUUACAUUAUGCAGUGACUUUUCCUCUCCCUUCCCCUCCCCCUCCCCCUUCCUCCUAACUCAGCGAUUCAAGAGGACGGAUGUAAAGAAAGCCACACUUCCGCUGCCUAGAGGGCGCUUUAAGGCUGGCAUCCACCUGCUCCUACUUCUGCACGCUCCCCUUUUCUGCAGAGGCUGCUGCAAACCAUAGAGAGACGUCUCCUGGCCCUGCUUUUCUGGGUUAUUGCUCCUGCUCUCCGUUAAGAGAACCGUAGCUCCAACAGCCGCCCCGGCCACGCAGAUCCCGUCUCAGCACGUUGCUCCUAGAACGUACCCCUCCCCCCCUCUUUCUUUGCAGCUGUUAGAGGCCACGCAGCAAGAGAUUCACUUUCUCUUUGCGUGAUGCGCGUGCGUGCUCUCUGCCCUUCAAAGAAAGCAGAACGGACCUCUCCCCCUGCUGGUCAAUUGCAGAAGGCAGCGGCUUCUAAUUUUUCCUGCCCCACCUAUCAAGAAAGCAAAACUCCUGUUAAAAAUAUGUGGAGUUAAGCAAAAUAAGGUCCUGCCUGCCUUCUCUGAUGCACAAAACUGCACACCGUCCAUCUGUUCUUUAUCUUACAGGUGGGUAGCAUGUUUCAUUAUGAGUCCUCUGGAACUGUGGUUGGUCCUUAUUUUGAUCAGAGUUCUAAGUCUUUCAAAGUUGUUUGUAUUUACAAUAUCAUUGUUAUUUAUUUAUUUAUAUUUUAUUUAUUUAUUUAUUUAUUUUAAGAUUUUCUUUUUUUUUUAAUUUUAAACAUUAUUUUAUUUGGU